RNAcentral lists this ribosomal RNA (629 nucleotides) under uncultured bacterium. RNAcentral's name for it is "bacterial SSU rRNA". The stretch from base 1 to 543 matches the Rfam family "Bacterial small subunit ribosomal RNA", at positions 338 to 873 of the family's 1533-position model. The record is from RNAcentral.
CCUACGGGAGGCAGCAGUGGGGAAUUUUGGACAAUGGGCGAAAGCCUGAUCCAGCAAUGCCGCGUGAGUGAAGAAGGCCUUCGGGUUGUAAAGCUCUUUUGUCAGGGAAGAAACGGUGGGAGCUAAUAUCUCUUGCUAAUGACGGUACCUGAAGAAUAAGCACCGGCUAACUACGUGCCAGCAGCCGCGGUAAUACGUAGGGUGCAAGCGUUAAUCGGAAUUACUGGGCGUAAAGCGUGCGCAGGCGGUUUUGUAAGUCUGAUGUGAAAUCCCCGGGCUCAACCUGGGAAUUGCAUUGGAGACUGCAAGGCUAGAAUCUGGCAGAGGGGGGUAGAAUUCCACGUGUAGCAGUGAAAUGCGUAGAUAUGUGGAGGAACACCGAUGGCGAAGGCAGCCCCCUGGGUCAAGAUUGACGCUCAUGCACGAAAGCGUGGGGAGCAAACAGGAUUAGAUACCCUGGUAGUCCACGCCCUAAACGAUGUCUACUAGUUGUCGGGUUCUUAAUUGACUUGGUAACGCAGCUAACGCGUGAAGUAGACCGCCGUGGGGAGGUACGGUCGCGAGAGUUAAACGUUAAAGUUAGAGUUAGAGGCGUGAGACGUGCGACGGACGACGACGAGGGGAGGAGG